GCGAGAGUGGCGGAAUUGGCAGACGCGCAGGAUUUAGGUUCCUGUGCCGCAAGGCGUGAGGGUUCAAAUCCCUCCUCUCGCA
This 82-nucleotide transfer RNA is filed under the name Paludisphaera borealis. It matches the Rfam family "tRNA". From Rfam's summary of the family: Transfer RNA (tRNA) molecules are approximately 80 nucleotides in length. Their secondary structure includes four short double-helical elements and three loops (D, anti-codon, and T loops). The record is from Rfam by way of RNAcentral. Lineage: Bacteria; Pseudomonadati; Planctomycetota; Planctomycetia; Isosphaerales; Isosphaeraceae.